GAGGUUGCUGCACGGUUGGUUCUGUCUGAGCAGCCGCUUUGCGGGAGGAGCUGCCCCGAGCUCGAGCUUGCGUGUCUGACCUGCAGACGCCAAAGCUUGUGUCCCUCCUCUCUUCCCAGCUAGGUCUGUGGUUGGGAAGUGUCCGGAGACGCUUUCUCUGAGCACAGCAGUCGUUUCGAGCAGGAGGGUGCUUGCUUUUGUUUGCGUGGCCGCUUGGGGAAGGAAACCACUGGCUUCAUUUUGGAAAAGCUAACUGAGAGCAAAGCAUCUGAAAGGGAGCAGAGCUCCACUAAGGCCUCUAUGAGGAUGGUGACUCGAUUCCACCCCUGGUUAUCCCUUUGCUACACAGCUCUUCUGGCCUCCUGACUGGGAGGAGCCCACUGAGAAGACUGUGCUCCCAGCUUAUAGGAGAGCCCUGUGAGCCACUGGGCUUUCUGGAAGUUUCGUGCGAUGCUAUGAUCUGCCCUGUGACUCCUUCCCUGGGGAAGAAUGGAGACUGUGUCAUCGUGAGCAUGUCAGACAGCUGGAGUAAGAGGGACCACCUUAACUCUUCAGUGGGAGCCACCCAGAGAGCACUGGAAGGUUUCUUCUGUCAUCUCUAA
RNAcentral lists this long non-coding RNA (602 nucleotides) under Struthio camelus australis. Its description in RNAcentral is "lncRNA (ENSSCUG00000009293.1)". Lineage: Eukaryota; Metazoa; Chordata; Aves; Struthioniformes; Struthionidae. The record is from RNAcentral.